This 318-nucleotide ribosomal RNA is filed under the name uncultured alveolate. RNAcentral describes it as "partial Bacterial large subunit ribosomal RNA". It matches the Rfam family "Bacterial large subunit ribosomal RNA", at positions 1293 to 1662 of the family's 2925-position model. The record is from RNAcentral.
AAUGUAGGCAUAAGUAACGAUAAGGCGGGUGAGAAACCCGCCCACCGAUAGACCAAGGUUUCCCGGGCAAUGCUAAUCAACCCGGGGUCAGUCGGGACCUAAGGCGCACCCGCAAGGGGAAGUCGAUGGACAACAGGUCAACAUUCCUGUACCUGCACAGGACGAAAGCGACGAAUGGAGGUAGGACGUGCGUACUGACGGAACAGUACGUUGAAGGCCCAGGCCGACAGUACUGCAAAGCUACGGCAGCGCAGAUAACCGUCCGAUUCCCGUUCCAAGAAAAGCGACUGCUGCAGCCCGUACCGUAAACCGACACAG